RNAcentral lists this non-coding RNA (87 nucleotides) under Paramoeba aestuarina. Lineage: Eukaryota; Discosea; Flabellinia; Dactylopodida; Paramoebidae. The record is from RNAcentral.
CCAGAACAGUGAUAAUAACAAGAUUUAUCCAAUCCAAAAUUGCAGGGUUUUAGUAACUACGCCCCAAUAAAUGUCAAUAUUAAACAA